RNAcentral lists this ribosomal RNA (1781 nucleotides) under Chloroflexota bacterium. RNAcentral's name for it is "Chloroflexi bacterium partial 23S ribosomal RNA". It matches the Rfam family "Bacterial large subunit ribosomal RNA", at positions 1 to 1738 of the family's 2925-position model. Lineage: Bacteria; Bacillati; Chloroflexota. The record is from RNAcentral.
GAACAAGCUACAUAGAGUACGAGGUGGAUGCCUUGGUACUGAAGGCCGAUGAAGGACGCGGAGACCGGCGAAACGUUCAGGGGGAGCUGCAUACAAGCGAUGAGCCCUGAGUAUCCGAAUGGGGCAACCCAUCCAGCAUGAUGGCUGGAUACCGCCUGCUGAACACAUAGGCAGGAACGGAGGGCAGCGGGCGAACUGAAACAUCUCAGUAGCCCGACGAGAAGAAAUCAAACGAGAUUCCCGUAGUAGUGGCGAGCGAAACGGGAGUAGCCCAAACCGAGAAUACCGAAGUAUUCUCGGGGUUGUAGGACCAACCACAGGUGUGAAGCGCUGACUCGAAGGCGUUGGAAAACGCCACCGCAGAUGGCGACAGUCCAGUAGAGGAUGAGCACGACACACAAGUUGGUAUCCUGAGUACCACGAACCCCGGUGAGUUUGUGGGAAGCUGGGGGGACCACCCUCCAAGGCUCAAUACCUUCAGUAACCGAUAGUGAACCAGUACCGUGAGGGAAAGGUGAAAAGCGCCCCGAAAGGGGGAUGAAACAGACCCUGAAACCACGUACUCACCAGCAGUCAGAGGCCACUCCUGCACAGCGCAGGUCAGGGCUGAUGGCGUGCCUUUUGUAGAAUGAUCCGGCGAGUGCAUCGUCGUCGCCUGGUUAACCUCCGUUAAAGGAGGGCAGCCACAGGGAAACCGAGUCUGAAAUAGGCGACGAACAAGCGGUGGCGACGAUGCGACCCGAAACCAUGUGAGCUAUCCAUGAGCAGAGUGAAGCGACUGUGAAAGGUCGUCGAGGCUCGCACCCACCAGUGUUGCAAAACUGGGGGAGGACUUGUGGAUAGAGGUGAAAUGCCAACCGAACAUGGAGAUAGCUGGUUCUCCCCGAAAUGUAUUGAGGUACAGCCACGGGGGAUAGGUUCUGGAGGUAGAGCGCUGCAUGAGCUAGGGGCCAGGUGCUGGUUACCGAACUCAAGCAAACUGCGAAUGCCAGAACCGCAUACCCGUGAGUGAGACGAUGGGGGCUAAGCUUCAUCGUCGAAAGGGAAACAACCCAGAUCACCAGCUAAGGUCUCGAAAUCGAUGCUCAGUGUGCAAGGGCGUCCGUACGCAAGAACAGCCAGGAUGUUGGCUUAGAAGCAGCCAUCAUUGAAAGAGUGCGUAAUAGCUCACUGGUCGAGUGUAUGGGCACCAACAACGUAUCGAGGCUCAAGCAUCGUACCGAAGCUGUGAAUCCUUCUUAAUAGAAAUGAGGGGGAUGGUAGGGGAGCGUUCUCUAGCAGAGAAGCCAGACCGUGAGGACUGGUGGAGCGGAGAGAAGUGCGAAUGCCGGAAUGAGUAGCGUAAUGCGUGUACGAACCACGCACACCGAAAGCCUGAGGGUUCCUGGGCAACGUCAGUCGUCCCAGGGUGAGUCGGGUCCUAAGCCGAGGACGUUAUAGUCGUAGGCGAUGGAAAGCAGGUCUGAAAUUCCUGCGCCAGAGCGUAUCGUGAAAAGUGAAGAGGGGACGCGGUAAGGAAAGUGAACCUAUCGAAUGGACAGGAUAGGCUUUCAAUCUGAAGUGCGAGACCGAGGCAAAUCCCGGUUUCCGACAGCAUGAAGAUUGAGACGAGUCUGCGCAAGCAGACGGAAGUCACUGGCACCUACGCCGCCAAGAAAAGCCUCUAACUAGAUGCAGCUCUGCCCGUACCGCACACCGACACCGGUAGGCAGGGAGAAAUCUCCCCAGGUGAACGAGCCAACCUCUGUCAAGGAACUCGGCAAAUUGACCCCGUACCUUCG